RNAcentral lists this ribosomal RNA (400 nucleotides) under uncultured bacterium. RNAcentral describes it as "bacterial SSU rRNA". It matches the Rfam family "Bacterial small subunit ribosomal RNA", at positions 355 to 752 of the family's 1533-position model. The record is from RNAcentral.
UGAGGAAUAUUGGUCAAUGGACGCAAGUCUGAACCAGCCAUGCCGCGUGCAGGAUGACUGCCCUAUGGGUUGUAAACUGCUUUUAUAUUGGAAGAAAAUUAGGAACGCGUUCCUAUAUGACGGUACUAUAUGAAUAAGCACCGGCUAACUCCGUGCCAGCAGCCGCGGUAAUACGGAGGGUGCAAGCGUUAUCCGGAAUUAUUGGGUUUAAAGGGUGCGUAGGUGGCUUUAUAAGUCAGAGGUGAAAUCUUUCAGCUUAACUGGAAAACUGCCUUUGAAACUGUAGAGCUUGAGACAAGAUGAAGUUGGCGGAAUGAGUAGUGUAGCGGUGAAAUGCAUAGAUAUUACUCAGAACACCGAUUGCGAAGGCAGCUGACUAAACUUGAUCUGACGCUGAGGC